Molecule: ribosomal RNA, 466 nt
Filed under: uncultured bacterium
Lineage: Bacteria
Description: partial 16S ribosomal RNA
Rfam family: Bacterial small subunit ribosomal RNA
Source: RNAcentral
GAUGAACGCUGGCGGCGUGCUUAACACAUGCGAGUCGAACGGAAAGGCUCCUGCUUGCAGGGGUACUCGAGUGGCGAACGGGUGAGUAACACGUGGGUGAUCUGCCCUGCACUUCGGGAUAAGCUGGGGAAACUGGGUCUAAUACCGGAUAGGACCGCAUUUUGGAUGGUGUGGUGGAAAGUUUUUUCGGUGUGGGAUGAGCUCGCGGCCUAUCAGCUUGUUGGUGGGGUAAUGGCCUGCCAAGGCGUCGACGGGUAGCCGGCCUGAGAGGGUGUACGGCCACAUUGGGACUGAGAUACGGCCCAGACUCCUACGGGAGGCAGCAGUGGGGAAUAUUGCACAAUGGGCGCAAGCCUGAUGCAGCGACGCCGCGUGGGGGAUGACGGCCUUCGGGUUGUAAACUCCUUUCGCUAGGGACGAAGAGUAAUUGACGGUACCUGGAGAAGAAGCACCGGCUAACUACGUG